RNAcentral lists this ribosomal RNA (961 nucleotides) under uncultured Bacillota bacterium. RNAcentral describes it as "bacterial SSU rRNA". It matches the Rfam family "Bacterial small subunit ribosomal RNA", at positions 139 to 1116 of the family's 1533-position model. The record is from RNAcentral. Lineage: Bacteria; Bacillati; Bacillota.
GGGGACAACAGCUGGAAACGGCUGCUAAUACCGCAUAAGGCCACGACCUCGAGUGAGGAUGUGGUAAAAGAUUUAUCGCACAAAGAUGGACUCGCGUCCCAUUAGCUAGUUGGUGAGGUAACGGCCCACCAAGGCGACGAUGGGUAGCCGACCUGAGAGGGUGAUCGGCCACACUGGAACUGAGACACGGUCCAAACUCCUACGGGAGGCAGCAGUGAGGAAUAUUGCACAAUGGGCGAAAGCCUGAUGCAGCAACGCCGCGUGAGUGAUGAAGGCCUUUGGGUCGUAAAACUCUGUCCUUGGGGAAGAAAAAAAUGACGGUACCCUUGGAGGAAGCCCCGGCUAACUACGUGCCAGCAGCCGCGGUAAUACGUAGGGGGCAAGCGUUAUCCGGAAUUAUUGGGCGUAAAGAGUGCGUAGGUGGUUUUGUAAGCGUAGGGUGAAAGGCAGUAGCUCAACUAUUGUUAGCCCUGCGAACUGUGAGACUUGAGUGCAGGAGAGGAAAGUGGAAUUCCUAGUGUAGCGGUGAAAUGCGUAGAUAUUAGGAGGAACACCAGUGGCGAAGGCGACUUUCUGGACUGUAACUGACACUGAGGCACGAAAGCGUGGGUAGCAAACAGGAUUAGAUACCCUGGUAGUCCACGCCGUAAACGAUGAGUACUAGGUGUCGGGGUUUAAAGACUUCGGUGCCGCAGUUAACGCAUUAAGUACUCCGCCUGGGGAGUACGCACGCAAGUGUGAAACUCAAAGGAAUUGACGGGGACCCGCACAAGCAGCGGAGCAUGUGGUUUAAUUCGAAGCAACGCGAAGAACCUUACCAGAACUUGACAUCCCUCUGACCGGUCCUUAAUCGGGCCUUCUCUUCGGAGCAGAGGAGACAGGUGGUGCAUGGUUGUCGUCAGCUCGUGUCGUGAGAUGUUUGGGUUAAGUCCCGCAACGAGCGCAACCCUAAUCACUAAUU